AGAGUCAGCAGAGAAUUUGGAGAAAGAGUCAGCCAAGAAUAUGGAGAAACAGUCAGCUGAGAGUAUGAAGAAUGAGUCAGACUACAAAGCGUGGCACAAUGAAAAGGAAAGCUUAGAAAAGUACCACCGAAUAAAGAAACCUAAAAUAGAAAAAGGAAAGGAAGGUGAAGAAAUGCACAGUUAAUAUUGUUGCUGUUGGUUGUGCUACAAAUAAUGAAUCUGCUGCAAAUAAUG
This is a long non-coding RNA of Amphimedon queenslandica, 234 nucleotides long. RefSeq lists it as uncharacterized. The record is from RefSeq and is a predicted model, not a curated record. Lineage: Eukaryota; Metazoa; Porifera; Demospongiae; Haplosclerida; Niphatidae. The transcript has 3 exons.